AGCGAACGCUGGCGGCAGGCCUAACACAUGCAAGUCGAGCGCCCAGCAAUGGGAGCGGCAGACGGGUGAGUAACGCGUGGGGAUCUGCCCGAUGGUACGGAAUAAUUUCGGGAAACUGGGACUAAUACCGUAUGUGCCCGCAAGGGGAAAGAUUUAUCGCCAUCGGAUGAACCCGCGUCGGAUUAGCUAGUUGGUGUGGUAAAGGCGCACCAAGGCGACGAUCCGUAGCUGGUCUGAGAGGAUGAUCAGCCACACUGGGACUGAGGCACGGCCCAAACUCCUACGGGAGGCAGCAGUGGGGAAUAUUGGACAAUGGGGGCAACCCUGAUCCAGCCAUGCCGCGUGAGUGAUGAAGGCCUUAGGGUUGUAAAGCUCUUUCACCGGGGAAGAUAAUGACGGUACCCGGAGAAGAAGCCCCGGCUAACUUCGUGCCAGCCGCCGCAGUAA
Molecule: ribosomal RNA, 447 nt
Filed under: uncultured bacterium
Lineage: Bacteria
Description: partial 16S ribosomal RNA
Rfam family: Bacterial small subunit ribosomal RNA
Source: RNAcentral